UGAGCCCGAGUAAACGGCGGCCGUAACUAUAACGGUCCUAAGGUAGCGAAAUUCCUUGUCGGUUAAAUACCGACCUGCAUGAAUGGCGUAACGAGAUGGGAGCUGUCUCAACCAGAGAUUCAGUGAAAUUGUAGUGGAGGUGAAAAUUCCUCCUACCCGCGGCAAGACGGAAAGACCCCGUGGACCUUUACUACAACUUAGCACUGCUAAUGGGAAUAUCAUGCGCAGGAUAGGUGGGAGGCUUUGAAGUAAGGGCUUUGGCUCUUAUGGAGUCAA
This 276-nucleotide ribosomal RNA is filed under the name Helicobacter pylori. RNAcentral describes it as "partial 23S ribosomal RNA". It matches the Rfam family "Bacterial large subunit ribosomal RNA", at positions 1914 to 2189 of the family's 2925-position model. The record is from RNAcentral. Lineage: Bacteria; Pseudomonadati; Campylobacterota; Epsilonproteobacteria; Campylobacterales; Helicobacteraceae.